AACGAGACCUUCGGGUCUAGUGGCGCACGGGUGCGUAACGCGUGGGAAUCUGCCCUUGGUCGGAAUAACAGCCGAGAAAUUGCUGCUAAUACCGUAUGAUGUCGAAAGACCAAAGAUUUAUCGCCUAAGGAUGAGCCCGCGUAAGAUUAGCUUGUUGGUGAGGUAAAAGCUCACCAAGGCGACGANCUUUAGCUGGUCUGAGAGGAUGAUCAGCCACACUGGGACUGAGACACGGCCCCAGACUCCUACGGGAGGCAGCAGUGGGGAAUAUUGGACAAUGGGCGAAAGCCUGAUCCAGCAAUGCCGCGUGAGUGAUGAAGGCCUUAGGGUUGUAAAGCUCUUUACCAGGGAUGAUAAUGACAGUACCUGGAGAAUAAGCUCCGGCUAACUCCGUG
Molecule: ribosomal RNA, 395 nt
Filed under: uncultured bacterium
Lineage: Bacteria
Description: bacterial SSU rRNA
Rfam family: Bacterial small subunit ribosomal RNA
Source: RNAcentral